CCCAGACUCCUACGGGAGGCAGCAGUGGGGGAUAUUGCACAAUGGGGGGAACCCUGAUGCAGCGACGCCGCGUGGGUGAAGGAGCGUUUCGGCGCGUAAAGCACUAUCGGCAGGGAAGAAGGAGGACGGUACCUGACUAAGAAGCCCCGGCUAACUACGUGCCAGCAGCCGCGGUAAUACGUAGGGGGCAAGCGUUAUCCGGAUUUACUGGGUGUAAAGGGGGCGCAGACGGCAGCGCAAGCCAGGAGUGAAAGCCCGGGGCCCAACCCCGGGACUGCUCUUGGAACUGCGCGGCUGGAGUGCAGGAGGGGCAGGCGGAAUUCCUGGUGUAGCGGUGAAAUGCGUAGAUAUACGGAGGAACACCAGUGGCGAAGGCGGCCUGCUGGACAUUAACUGACGCUGAGGCGCGAAAGCGUGGGGAGCAAACAGGAUUAGAUACCCCAGUACG
Molecule: ribosomal RNA, 448 nt
Filed under: uncultured bacterium
Lineage: Bacteria
Description: partial 16S ribosomal RNA
Rfam family: Bacterial small subunit ribosomal RNA
Source: RNAcentral